Molecule: long non-coding RNA, 812 nt
Filed under: Papio anubis (olive baboon)
Lineage: Eukaryota; Metazoa; Chordata; Mammalia; Primates; Cercopithecidae
Description: lncRNA (ENSPANG00000050419.1)
Source: RNAcentral
GAAAAUGUGGCUCACUGAGCUCAAAAAAAAGGCUCUGUGCAUGAAAUCAUGAAAACUACAUGGGGCGAUAACAUUAAUCAAAUCCCAAAGCUUAGAAUAUCCUGAAGAUGACCCAUCUCCACGUAUUUCCAAAAUUGGGAGAGCUUUUUUUAUGGAGUGAUUUAUUCCUAUAGCUAUUCAUAGAAAGAGUCUGUUCCUUAAGGUACGUGACAACCUGCAUUCAUGCUUGAAAUCAUUGGGACUCAGAUGUUUAUAAAGAUCUCUGAAACUUCUGAAUUCUUUUUCUCAUUUGUUGCCGUGUGAACCAGUCAUCCACUCCGGAAGCUCUCCUGCCACGGAAGUCUUUUAAAGCAACUUAUCUUUUGUGGUCAUCUGAUUGACAAUGGUUCAAUAGAUCUUCAAAAUGACUGCUUAUAAGAUUAUAGACUUUGGUAUGUUAAUGAUGUUGUGGUUUCAUUGGAAAUAAUAUUUUCCUUCUUGGGAGAUGCAUGCUGAAGUAUUUAGGAGUGAAAUAUACUUUUAGAAGUACAUUCAUGCCUACUUUUGGAAGGUUUGAGAAAAGGCAUUAUUUACUCAGGAGAAAAAAGUAUAGGAAACUAAAGAAAAUACUGAAGAUAAUCUCAAAUGGUGACAAUCUUUUUCAAUCUCGUCUGCACUUCAAUUUUGGAAUAGUCUAUAAUAUUUGAGAAUUAACAGAAAUAUUACAAGAUAUAAGCUAGCAACUGUUAUGUAAAAGUAUCCAUUUUCCAUGGAUUCCAGCUAAAAGACUAACAGUUACUAAAACAUCCCCACAAGCUAACUGCUUUUAAAAA